GACAGAGGUGCCAAGCGUUAGGCGGAAUCACUGGGCUUAAAGCGUGUGUAGGCGGAUCGUUAAGUACCUUGUGAAAUCCCACGGCUCAACCGUGGAACUGCUGGGUAUACUGGCGGUCUUGAGCCACCUAGGGGCAACUGGAACAAGCGGUGGAGCGGUGAAAUGCGUAGAUAUCGCUUGGAACGCCAACGGUGAAAACAGGUUGCUGGGGGUGUGCUGACGCUGAGGCGCGAAAGCCAGGGGAGCGAACGGG
This 253-nucleotide ribosomal RNA is filed under the name uncultured bacterium. RNAcentral describes it as "partial 16S ribosomal RNA". It matches the Rfam family "Bacterial small subunit ribosomal RNA", at positions 524 to 776 of the family's 1533-position model. The record is from RNAcentral.